CCGCGGGCAGGAAGGAGCCGCCGGGUCCUGGCGCCGCCCGCUGCCCCACUCACCCCAACGGGACCCGGCUGGCGCUGGCAGCCGGCCCGGGGCGCGGUUUGACUCGAGCCCUGAUCUCACGGAGGAGAACCUGAGGCCGCUUGCACGUGCCGGGGGACCGGCAGAGGGGUGCGCAGCCUCGGCGGAAAGCACCGCCCCGGGAGAAAAGGAUGACAGCAGUCAAAGCGCAGGAAAGGGAAGAACGCUCUGGAGCCGGUGGGACAGUGAGAGCAGGACUAAAACCGUACGUCCUGUAGCAUACUGAGAUCACAGGAUGUCUCCUGACAAACGAAGGAAGGAUCUUGACAAGUCAAAGACUCAGAGAAAACUGCAGGAGGAGCAGCCUGGGUGAGGCACCGUUCACGCCUGUACAUGGGAAUAUACCAGCGUGCCCCUUUCUGGCUUGCUGUUGCUGCGUCAGUUCAUUAAAAACGAAUGCAACCUUAACAUCUA
Molecule: long non-coding RNA, 492 nt
Organism: Apus apus (common swift)
Lineage: Eukaryota; Metazoa; Chordata; Aves; Apodiformes; Apodidae
Exons: 2
Source: RefSeq, a predicted model, not a curated record